RNAcentral lists this ribosomal RNA (116 nucleotides) under Pteropus alecto (black flying fox). The record is from RNAcentral. Lineage: Eukaryota; Metazoa; Chordata; Mammalia; Chiroptera; Pteropodidae.
CAGUGGGGCCGUGCCGCCCUGAACAAGCCCGAUGUCUGAUCUUAGAAGCUAAGCAGGGUCGAGCCUGGUUAGUACUUGGAUGGGAGACCACCUAGGAAGACCAAGUGCUGUAGAUG